GCGCUACCUGCAGUCGAGCGGUAACAUAUAGUAGCUUGCUACUUUGCUGACAAGCGGCGGACGGGUGAGUAAUGCUUGGGAACAUGCCUUGAGGUGGGGGACAACAGUUGGAAACGACUGCUAAUACCGCACAAUGUCUACAGACCAAAGGGGGCUUCAGCUCUCGCCCUUGCAUUGACCCAAGUGCCAUUAGGUAGUUGGUGAGGUAAUGACUCACCGGCGCAACGAUCCCUAGCUGGUUUGAGAGGAUGAUCAGCCGCACUGGCACUGAGACACGGACCAAACUCCUACAGUAGGCAGCGAUGGGGAAUAGUGCACAAUGGGCGCAAGCCUGAUGCCCCCAUGCCGCGUGGGUGAGGAAGGCCUUCGGGUUGUAAAGCACUUUCACUCUUGAGGAAAGGUUAAUAGUUAAUACCUGCUAACUGUGACUUUGCUGACAUAAUAAGCAACGACUAACUCCGUGCCUCCAUCCGCGGUAAUACGGAGGGUGCGAGCGUUAAUCGGAAUUACUGGGCGUAAGGCGUACGCACGCGGUUUGUUAAUCUAGAUGUGAAAACCCCAGGCUCACGCUGUCAACUGCAUUUCCAACUGUCAAACUAGAGUGUGAUAGAGGGUGAUAGAAUUUCAGGUGUAGCGGUGAAAUGCGUAUAUGUCUAAAGGAAUACCGAUGGCGAAGGCGGCCACCUGGCUCCACGCUGACGCUCAUGUACUAAAGCGUGAGGGAGCU
This 727-nucleotide ribosomal RNA is filed under the name Pseudoalteromonas sp. RNAcentral's name for it is "bacterial SSU rRNA". It matches the Rfam family "Bacterial small subunit ribosomal RNA", at positions 46 to 770 of the family's 1533-position model. Lineage: Bacteria; Pseudomonadati; Pseudomonadota; Gammaproteobacteria; Alteromonadales; Pseudoalteromonadaceae. The record is from RNAcentral.